GCAUAACGCGAAGAACCUUACCAGGCCUUGACAUCCAAUGAACUUUCUAGAGAUAGAUUGGUGCCUUCGGGAACAUUGAGACAGGUGCUGCAUGGCUGCCGUCAGCUCGUGUCGUGAGAUGUUGGGUUAAGUCCCGUAACGAGCGCAACCCUUGUCCUUAGUUACCAGCACGUAAUGGUGGGCACUCUAAGGAGACUGCCGGUGACAAACCGGAGGAAGGUGGGGAUGACGUCAAGUCAUCAUGGCCCUUACGGCCUGGGCUACACACGUGCUACAAUGGUCGGUACAGAGGGUUGCCAAGCCGCGAGGUGGAGCUAAUCCCAGAAAGCCGGUCGUAGUCCGGAUCGGAGUCUGCAACUCGACUCCGUGAAGUCGGAAUCGCUAGUAAUCGCAGAUCAGCAACGCUGCGGUGAAUACGUUCCCGGGUCUUGUACACACCG
Molecule: ribosomal RNA, 440 nt
Filed under: uncultured bacterium
Lineage: Bacteria
Description: bacterial SSU rRNA
Rfam family: Bacterial small subunit ribosomal RNA
Source: RNAcentral